Molecule: ribosomal RNA, 254 nt
Filed under: uncultured bacterium
Lineage: Bacteria
Description: partial 16S ribosomal RNA
Rfam family: Bacterial small subunit ribosomal RNA
Source: RNAcentral
UACGUAGGGGGCGAGCGUUGUCCGGAUUUAUUGGGCGUAAAGAGCUCGUAGGCGGUUUGGCAAGUCGGGUGUGAAAACUCCGGGCUCAACUCGGAGACGCCACUCGAUACUGCCAUGACUCGAGUCCGGUAGGGGAGUGCGGAAUUCCUGGUGUAGCGGUGAAAUGCGCAGAUAUCAGGAGGAACACCGGUGGCGAAGGCGGCACUCUGGGCCGGUACUGACGCUGAGGAGCGAAAGCCAGGGGAGCAAACGGG